Molecule: long non-coding RNA, 1215 nt
Organism: Poecile atricapillus (Black-capped chickadee)
Lineage: Eukaryota; Metazoa; Chordata; Aves; Passeriformes; Paridae
Exons: 3
Source: RefSeq, a predicted model, not a curated record
CUGUUUUGAAAUGGAGCCCUGCUCCUGCCAAGGUAAACAAUACUGAGACUUUCUUUCCUCUGCAGCCGCCAGUGGAAGCACAGAGGAGCAUGGCUCCAAGUGACAGCUUCUACCCCAGCCAGCUGCUGCCAGCCAUUGGCUUCUAGAGGAGACCUAAACAGGAGUUCCACCAGAAAAUGGAAAAUAACAUUCUUGGCAUUCCAACAGUUGGGAACACAGAAAGCACUACACUGUGCAAGAAAAAUGCAGUAUUUUAUAUCUGACCAUGGUCAAACCUGAAUACUCCAGAGGAAAGCAGACAGCCUCUAGUAAUGAACCUGAUUCUACAUCUCACUUUGGGUAAAUCUGGGAACUCCAAGAGUAUGUUUGACCUCUGCACUCAGAAGAUGAUGUUCUGCUGCUUUUACAACCUGCCAUGAAACAUGGCAUCUGCCAAUGCAAAACCACACAUCCUUUCACUAGUUCUGACUGUUUCAACCACUGUUAAGGCACUAUUCAUUGCAUCUUCCUACUGAGUGGCAGCACCAUGCAGGUGAGAUGGCCACCUGAGCACAGUGACAGGAGAAGUUGGGCUGCACCAUGCCCCGCUUUCAUUAGACUCCUGGGCAGUACAUGUCCCUCGUGAAACAGUUUAGAUAUACCCACUGGUGCCGGGCUGCAGAAGGAUCCUUGAGAAGGUCUCAGAUUCCAAAGGUUACCUAAAAUCUAAAGGAUCAUUUAAAAUGAAAAAAACUGAAUUAUUUUUUUUUUAAAAAUUCAAUAUUAAGUUGUGAUCAUUCCUACUGGAUGCAUUUGGUUGAACAGAUAUUUAAAAUAACUUCUGAGGAGAGUUCUGUCCAGAUUUGUAGCAAAUCACUUAAAAACAGAAUGAGAGUGGUUUCAAAACUUUUCUGUUGAGGUCAAAAUUUUGUUAUCUUUGUUCAAAUUUAUCAUGAAGUAAUAUAGAUAAUCUUGUGGCCACUCACAUUUACUCAUGAUUUUUCUGGUUACAGGAAGAUAAAAAAACAUUCCAGAAGAAUUUUAUUAUUGAUAAUUCAGCUUGAGACAAACAACCAACUAAGAGACUGAAAAGAAUAGGUUUGUGAAAAAAAGUGUUGAAACCAUGCAUAAUUAUAACACUUUUUAUAUCUUGAACCUGCUAUUUUCUCACUGUAUAGGUCAUUCAUAAAACACAGAUUUUAUCAGCCUAAGUUGUAUCAUUAUUCCACAAUUUUC